AUUCCCCUAGUAACUGCGAGUGAAGAGGGAAGAGCUCAAAUUUAAAAUCUGGCMGUCUCUGGCUGUCCGAGUUGUAAAUUAGAGAAGUGUUAUCCGCUCAAGCCUGUGCAAAAGUCUCUUGGAAAAGGGCAUCAUAGAGGGUGACAAUCCCGUCUUUGGCACAGAUCACUUGCGCUUUUGUGAUGCGCUCUCGAUGAGUCGAGUUGUUUGGGAAUGCAGCUCUAAAUGGGUGGUAAAUUCCAUCUAAAGCUAAAUAUGGGCGAGAAACCGAUAGCGAACAAGUACCGUGAGGGAAAGAUGAAAAGCACUUUGAAAAGAGAGUCAAACAGUAUGUGAAAUUGUUGAAAGGGAAACGCUUGAAGUCAGUCGUAUCCUUCAGAAAUCAACCCGAGCUUUAUUUGGUGCAUUUUUUGUUGGAUGGGUCAGCAUCAAUUUUGAUCAUUGGAUAAAGGACUUGGGAAUGUAGCAUCUUCGGAUGUGUUAUAGCCCUUGUUUGUAUACAAUGAUUGGGAUUGAGGAACUCAGUGUGACUUUGGUUUGGGGGUAUUGCACCUCACACACGCACUUAGGAUGCUGGCAUAAUGGCUUUAAUCGACCCGUCUUGAAACACGGACCAAGGAGUCUAACAUGCAUGCAAGUGUUUGGGUGGAAAACUCAAGCGCGCAAUGAAAGUGAAAGUUGAGAACCCUUUGGGGUGCAUCAACGCCCGGUCUUGAGCUUUUGCGACGGACCUGCGGUAGAGCAUGUAUGUUGGGACCCGAAAGAUGGUGAACUAUGCCUGAAUAGGGUGAAGUCAGAGGAAACUCUGAUGGAAGCUCGUAGCGAUUCUGACGUGCAAUCGAUCGUCAAAUUUGGGUAUAGGGGCGAAAGACUAAUCGAACCAUCUAGUAGCUGGUUCCCGC
This 902-nucleotide ribosomal RNA is filed under the name Hodophilus sp. 3 BL-2016. RNAcentral describes it as "LSU rRNA". It matches the Rfam family "Eukaryotic large subunit ribosomal RNA", at positions 74 to 961 of the family's 3401-position model. The record is from RNAcentral. Lineage: Eukaryota; Fungi; Basidiomycota; Agaricomycetes; Agaricales; Clavariaceae.